This 659-nucleotide long non-coding RNA is filed under the name Homo sapiens (human). Its description in RNAcentral is "non-protein coding lnc-BHLHB9-7:1". Lineage: Eukaryota; Metazoa; Chordata; Mammalia; Primates; Hominidae. The record is from RNAcentral.
GUAAACAAAAAUGUAUUGGCAUCUUUCAUUAUCCUUACAAUAGUAGAAUUACCCUUGAUAUUCUAAUCAUUUCAUUCCCAAACAUUAUAUUCCCUACCCCAAUCACCUAAUCAAUAAUCAACUAAUCACCAUACAAUGAUUAGUGCAACUCAUAUUAAAACAAAUUAUAAUAAUAUACAAUGUCAAAGGGUGAACUUUAUCCCUCAUAUUAAUUUCACUUAUUCUAUUUAUUACCUCAACAAACAUCAGGAUGACUAACCCACUCAUUUAUGCCAAUAACUCAGUUAUCAAUAAAUCUAAAUAUAGAUAUCCCACUAUAACCAAGAGCAGUUAUCACUGACUUCCACCACAAAACAAAAGAGUCAUUGGCUUGUUUGCUACCACAAGGAUCACCCAUUCCACUAACCUCUAUACUUGUACUUAUUAAAAUUAACCUUUUUAUUCAACACUUAGCCCUGGCUGAACAACUAACAGCCAAUAUUAUAGCCAUCCAUCUACUCAUACACUUAAUCAGUAAUGCCACACUAGUGAUAAUAUCCAUUAGUUUUGCAACAGCUUGAAUGUAUUAUUUUAAUUAUAUUUACCAUCUUUGAAUUUGCUGCAGCCCAAAUUCAAACAUACCUCUUCACUAUACUAGUCUUUACUUGCACAACAAUACU